AAAAAAUUAAUUUAUAGUAAAAUAUUGAUUUGUCAAAUCAAAAAACUUAACAAAAUUAAGAUUUUUUU
This 68-nucleotide transfer RNA is filed under the name Eoscarta assimilis. RNAcentral's name for it is "tRNA-Asp". Lineage: Eukaryota; Metazoa; Arthropoda; Insecta; Hemiptera; Cercopidae. The record is from RNAcentral.